GACGAACGCUGGCGGCGUGCCUAACACAUGCAAGUCGAACGAUCCUUCGGGAUAGUGGCGGACGGGUGAGUAACACGUGGGAACGUGCCUUUAGGUUCGGAACAACACAGGGAAACUUGUGCUAAUACCGGAUAAGCCCUUCGGGGAAGAUUAUCGCCUUAGAGCGGCCCGCGUCUGAUUAGCUUGUUGGUGAGGUAAAGGACUCACCAAGGCUACGAUCAGUAGCUGGUCUGAGAGGAUGGCCAGCCACAUUGGGACUGAGACACGGCCCAAACUCCUACGGGAGGCAGCAGGUGGGGAAUCUUGCGCAAUGGGCGAAAGCCUGACGCAGCCAUGCCGCGUGGAUGAUGAAGGUCUUAGGAUUGUAAAAUCCUUUCAGC
This 380-nucleotide ribosomal RNA is filed under the name uncultured bacterium. RNAcentral's name for it is "bacterial SSU rRNA". It matches the Rfam family "Bacterial small subunit ribosomal RNA", at positions 28 to 440 of the family's 1533-position model. The record is from RNAcentral.